Molecule: long non-coding RNA, 2629 nt
Filed under: Zea mays
Lineage: Eukaryota; Viridiplantae; Streptophyta; Magnoliopsida; Poales; Poaceae
Description: long non-coding RNA (ZMAY_LNC002522)
Source: RNAcentral
GGGCGAGAUCCUCUUGCCAUUGGCUUCGCCGCAAGAUAAGUGGACGACCCCCUCUCCUCUUCUCCUCAUUUCACCAAUUAGCGUCGUGCGGAGGGACUGAGAGAAAUAGAGCGCCGGUGCCACCGUCGCUGCGCUUGGGUUUUGCCGUUAUUGCGACCUCGAAUCCAGCCAACAGAGUUCGCCGCAGCGCGUAGAGCAAGAUUAUAUCGGUGUUGGGCAUGGAGUAGUACCCAUUGGGUGUCAAUUCCUCGUCGGCGUCGAAGCAAAGCCCCAUCUGCAUGUUGCUUGAAUUCACCUCCACCCGGGAUUCCUGGUAUGGGCCUCUACUCGAUUCGUCGUUCAUCUAAGAAUCAAAUGGCGCUUCUCGCCUCGUGCUCUGUACCAGAAUAGCUGCGACCACCACGCUGAUUGGCGCCGUUGGCUGGGCCAUUAGGGGACAGGGCCCAUGCGUUAAAACCCGCGGUAGAAGUUUAGUGGUGGGAGUUCACCAUCUUUUCUUUGCCAUGAAUCGUCUCGCGGGGUGGGGAAAUUGGGAUCCAGGGUACCGGAACGGGAUCUCUGGCCAUGGCUCCGCCGUUUGCCGGUGUGCGCCGUCGCCGGUUCGGUUAGCUAUGAGGAUUUGGGGAGGGUUUUAUGCUGGCCCUUGAUCUAGAUUCAGGUGGCCACGGUUAGAUCUUAGGUUACCCCUUCGUUUUAAAUCGGGGCCAUGGAUCUGUGAUCAUAUGGUCGGGAGAGAGUUGUUGUCGCGGGAAAUCCUCGGCCAUCGAUCUUCGUGCGGGCGCUCGGUGUGAUAAACCAGUUCACGGAGAGGAAUAGAUUUAAUCUCGGCCGUCGAGUUUCGAUCGGACGACCAGGGUUCCAGGAUACCCCUUCGGCCAAUUCUUUUGCUAAAGACACCCUGAUCUUUCUCGAUAUAAAUCCACCGUCUACGUGCAGUGUAGAGUAAUUACAAUUGAACCAUGGAUUCUUACAAAUCAACCCCUGGCCUUUCACGUUUUUGUGCGCGCGGUCCAAAUAAAUUGCAGAUUUAAUAAAAUCAACUAGAAAAAGUUUUUUAGUAUAAAAAUAAUUCUAGAAAAUUAUUUAAUUCAUAACUAAUUCGUUUUAACUCCUUUUUAAUCUAUUCCAGUUGCAAUAAUUUUAUUUUAAUAUUGUUUAUCACCUAGUAACUCUGUUUUAUCAUGAAACAUAGAUUAAAUUUGUCCACUUAGUUUAUCCUGUAUCAACUACUUAAAAACUUCGAAAAAUCAUAACUUGUUAUCCAUAACUUCGAAUUUAGUGAUUCUUGAACCUACAAUCUCGUUACGAUGCAUAGAUUAUUAUCAUGCAUUAUGUUCUGAUGUUUGGUGUGAUGUUAAUUUAUGCUAUACCAUGUUUGUUUGUGUUGCUACGAGUAGUCGAGCAAGUGAUCGAGGACCCAGGUGCUCAGCAUGUGGAAAAUUUUGAGCAGGAGCUCGUUGAAGGAAAGUUAUGCCCUUGACCACUUUUAUUUACCCAAUAAUGUUCUCUAUAAUCAUUUUGGCAUGCUUAGGCUUAAUUUUGAUGGGACCCAAUAGGUCACACUAGUUUGGUUAUCUUUACACCUUGUUUACCCCUGAACUUUUGGAUAGUCUUUGCUAUUGCUAUAUGUGGUUUUGGGUGUUAAGAUAAUUAUUACACAUGGUCAUGAUUUAUUAUUGUUAUUCUAUUUUGUUCAUGAUAAGACUAUUAUGUUAAUAGGAACAUGGAGCUUAACUUGAGAAACACGUGCCACCACAAGGGUGGAAUGGGACGCCCUUUGCUGACUAAUUAGGAAAGCUAGUGGAGGUCUACCUUACCCGAAAGGGGCAAGGGAAGUAGGGGAGUUAUCGGUGUGGGGAGGUUCUCGGGUUGAUUUUGCUGCGAUGGCUUUUCAGACGGGGGAUUCCUGCAUUGCGCUCCCUAGAACUGUAGCGGGUUUUCUGAAGCUAGUGGAACUUUGUAAAGGCCUCGUAGUGUUACCCGGCCUCGCUUCCUGGUAGAGGUGUAUGGGAUUCAUGACCCCUUGGCAGAUGGGUAACAUGACUUGUGGGUAAAGGGUACAACCUCUACAGAGUGUAAAACUGGUAUACUAGUCGUGCUCGCGGUCAUUAGCAGCUCAGGACUCUUGCAUGAUUAAUUUAUGGAAUUAAAUUCAAUUUGUCAUUUGCAUCGCAUUAUGGUUUUAUUAUUAACUUUGAUCUAUUACUAGUUUGGUAUAUACUUACAUUUAGUAACUGCUAAUAAAAUCUGACCAACUUAUUAAAAGCAAUGCUCAGCUUUAACCCUUAUUUGUUGAUCAGCCUUACACUUCACAUGAGCUCCCACCUUUGGUGAGUUCAUGCACAUUAUUCCCCACAACUUGCUGAGAUAUGAUCUUUUGUGAGCUCACCCUUGCGACAUAUAAACCCCCCACAGGUGAAGAGCAGGUAGUCCAGGAGGAGGUCUACAACGAGGAGUACGAGAUUAUCUAGGUGGCGUCUUCCAGUCAGCUUUAUGGCGCCAAGGAAUAAUAUUUAGUUCGCUUUAUUGUUAUCAUUUAAUUUUGUAAGACACUACCGCUAUGUAAUAAUAUUUGUGAUAUUUAUCUCUGCACACUUGGUCAUUAUAUGUGUUGUUCUUCUUUGGCGCA